This 231-nucleotide ribosomal RNA is filed under the name uncultured bacterium. RNAcentral describes it as "partial 16S ribosomal RNA". It matches the Rfam family "Bacterial small subunit ribosomal RNA", at positions 118 to 350 of the family's 1533-position model. The record is from RNAcentral.
UGAGCAACCUGCCCUUAGCUUUGGGAUAACCCUCGGAAACGGGGGCUAAUACCGAAUGUUCACUGCCGGGCGCAUGUUUGGUGGUGGAAAGUUUUUCGGCUGGGGAUGGGCUCGCGGCCUAUCAGCUUGUUGGUGGGGUGAUGGCCUACCAAGGCGGCGACGGGUAGCCGGCCUGAGAGGGCGACCGGCCACACUGGGACUGAGACACGGCCCAGACUCCUACGGGAGGCA